CCUACGGGCGGCUGCAGUGAGGAAUAUUGGUCAAUGGACGCAAGUCUGAACCAGCCAUGCCGCGUGCAGGAAGACGGCUCUAUGAGUUGUAAACUGCUUUUGUACGAGGGUAAACGCAGAUGCGCGUAUCUGUCUGAAAGUAUCGUACGAGUAAGGAUCGGCUAACUCCGUGCCAGCCGCCGCGGUACUACGGAGGAUUCAAGCGUUAUCCGGAUUUAUUGGGUUUAAAGGGUGCGUAGGCGGUCGGAUAAGUUAGAGGUGAAAUCCCGGGGCUCAACUUCGGAAUUGCCUCUGAUACUGUUCGGCUAGAGAGUAGUUGCGGUAGGUGGAAUGUAUGGUGUAGCGGUGAAAUGCUUAGAGAUCAUACUGAACACCGAUUGCGAAGGCAGCUUACCAAGCUACUUCUGACGUUGAGGCACGAAAGCGUGGGGAGCAAACAGGAUUAGAUACCCGGGUAGUC
This 460-nucleotide ribosomal RNA is filed under the name uncultured bacterium. Its description in RNAcentral is "partial 16S ribosomal RNA". It matches the Rfam family "Bacterial small subunit ribosomal RNA", at positions 338 to 795 of the family's 1533-position model. The record is from RNAcentral.